AUGCUCCAACCGGUUACUCGAAAAGAUAUCAACUCGUUGAUCAUCUUAACGGCGUGGACUAUCUGGAAGCAUAGGAACGCCGUUAUCUUUGACGACGCUCGACCCUCAUCCACCCAGCUAUCUAAUGUCAUCAUGUAGAGGGUGUGGCUAUGGGCCAGAGCCGCUGCCCAAGGCCUAGAUCGACUAAUGCAUGGAAGGGCAUCUUCAACGGUAACCCGUAAACUUCCCCCUGCAUCCUUCCGUGGACAUGAGGGGACCAGUCCGCGGACACGGAUACAGGAGACCGCCAUUCAACUAUAG
RNAcentral lists this ribosomal RNA (300 nucleotides) under Triticum aestivum (bread wheat). RNAcentral describes it as "partial small subunit ribosomal RNA". The record is from RNAcentral. Lineage: Eukaryota; Viridiplantae; Streptophyta; Magnoliopsida; Poales; Poaceae.